This is a long non-coding RNA of Magnolia sinica, 476 nucleotides long. RefSeq lists it as uncharacterized. The record is from RefSeq and is a predicted model, not a curated record. The transcript has 3 exons. NCBI's taxonomy places the organism in Eukaryota, Viridiplantae, Streptophyta, Magnoliopsida, Magnoliales, Magnoliaceae.
AAAGAAAAGGAAGGAAAGAGGGAGAGUCUCAUCUCCUCUCUCUCUCUCUCUUCUGUUGGGUCGCUUUCCUUUCUGGCUAAAAGGUGAGAGUUAUAGAAAUAGCAAAAGAUUUACAAGGUGGGUCAUUUUCCUUUCUGGCUAAAAGGCGAGAGUUAUAGAAAUUGCAGAAGAUUUACAACGUUGCUUCCAAGAAGAAAAAUGUGGCAGAUGAAGCCAGAGUAGUCCUAUAGGCAAAGCUGAGGCAAGCAGCUUCAACACCAUAAUGGAACAAAAAGAUGAAUGCAUAUCGUGCUGCCCUUCUUUCUCAAGUAGAUUGCAUUGAGGUUGAUGUCUCUCACUCUUUGGAUAGAGUUCUGUUUGCUCUCCAUGACAGGUAUAUUUCAUUUUAAAGUUGUGUUUGUAAUGAGGUUUAUUCGUAACGUAUUUGUAAUGGUAGUUCCCCCAUCUUUUAAAGUUGUCAACAUAUAUGCAUAGUU